AUGUCUGGACCUCUCCUGUUGCAAGUAACACGUGCUAUCUUUAUUAUCUUGUCAUACUUGAUGAUUUUUCACACUAUGUGUGGACCUUUGCGGCGAAAGUCGGACUCUGUUGCCACUCUCACCGCCUUCUACUCCUAUGUCUCCACGCAGUUUGGACGUCCCAUUCAUGCGUUGCAAACAGACAACGGGAAGGAGUUCGAUAACCUUGCGAUCCGCAACCUUCUCGCCACACACGGCACGAUCUUUCGUCUCACUUGCCCGUACACUUCGCAACAAAACGGCCGCGCUGAGCGCGUGCUACGCACUCUCAAUGACUGUGUUUGCACCCUCCUCUUUCACGCCAACGUGCCACCAUGUUUUUGGCCCGACGCGCUUGCCACCGCAUCACUACUCAUUAACAUUCGUCCCUGUCGCACUCGCGGGAAUUUCGCACCUCAUCACCUCUUGUUUGGCACGCCACCCUCCUAUGCUGAGCUCCGCAUCUUCGGUUGCCUGUGCUACCCCAGCAUCGCUUCCACCACUCCUCAUAAGCUCGCACCUAGGUCUGUGGCCUGCAUCUUUCUCGGCUAUCCUCCUAACACCAAAGGCUACCGCUGCUAUGAUCCUAUCUCUCAUCGGGUGAUCACUUCACGACACGUUUACUUUGAUGAGAUGGUUUUUCCGUUCCAGCAGGUACCUUCGGAUGAUGCGGCCUUGCCCGCUUCCGGUGAUGGCCGCCCACGUGCCUCUCUUGGGCCGCCUCCCGGCUUUGAGGGUGCCCCCCGCGCCACGGGUCGAGUCUCUCCCCGUUUGGUUGCCCUAGGGGCUGCACCUCCUUCGACGCCUGCGACGCCCCCGGCGUCCCCGGCCUCGACCCUGCCGGUGGCCUCGUCCGCCGCCAUGCCGGCUGCCUCCGCCACGCCGGUGGCCUCGUCCGCCGCCACGCAGGCGGCCUCGCCCGCCGCAUCACCGGCAGCCUCACCCGCCGCCUCGCGGAGGCCUCGCCCGCGGCGGUCACAUCGGGGGCGGGCUCGUCUUCGUCCUCGCCCGCCUCCCCUCCGGACCCGCUGCCCCGCCCGAUGA
Molecule: ribosomal RNA, 1062 nt
Filed under: Triticum aestivum (bread wheat)
Lineage: Eukaryota; Viridiplantae; Streptophyta; Magnoliopsida; Poales; Poaceae
Description: partial small subunit ribosomal RNA
Source: RNAcentral